This 467-nucleotide ribosomal RNA is filed under the name uncultured bacterium. Its description in RNAcentral is "partial 16S ribosomal RNA". It matches the Rfam family "Bacterial small subunit ribosomal RNA", at positions 28 to 507 of the family's 1533-position model. The record is from RNAcentral.
GACGAACGCUGGCGGCGUGCUUAACACAUGCAAGUCGAACGGAAAGGCCUCUUUCGGGGGGUACUCGAGUGGCGAACGGGUGAGUAACACGUGAGUAACCUGCCCUUGACUUUGGGAUAACUUCGGGAAACUGGGGCUAAUACCGGAUAGGAGCUCCUGCUGCAUGGUGGGGGUUGGAAAGUUUCGGCGGUUGGGGAUGGACUCGCGGCUUAUCAGCUUGUUGGUGGGGUAGUGGCUUACCAAGGCUUUGACGGGUAGCCGGCCUGAGAGGGUGACCGGCCACAUUGGGACUGAGAUACGGCCCAGACUCCUACGGGAGGCAGCAGUGGGGAAUAUUGCACAAUGGGUGGAAGCCUGAUGCAGCAACGCCGUGUGCGGGAUGACGGCCUUCGGGUUGUAAACCGCUUUCGCUCAUGACAAAGCUUUGUGUGACGGUAGUGGGUAAAGAAGCACCGGCUAACUACGUG